This 702-nucleotide ribosomal RNA is filed under the name Goniomonas pacifica. RNAcentral's name for it is "partial Bacterial large subunit ribosomal RNA". It matches the Rfam family "Bacterial large subunit ribosomal RNA", at positions 420 to 1120 of the family's 2925-position model. Lineage: Eukaryota; Cryptophyceae; Goniomonadida; Goniomonadaceae. The record is from RNAcentral.
GGACACGUGAAAUCCUGUCUGAACAUGGGGGGACCAUCCUCCAAGCCUAAGUACUCCUACAUGACCGAUAGUGAACCAGUACCGUGAGGGAAAGGUGAAAAGAACCCUGAACAAGGGAGUGAAAUAGAACCUGAAACCGUACGCUUACAAGCGGAGGGAGCCUACGGGUGACCUCGUGCCUUUUGCAUAAUGAUCCUACGAGUUACUCCUCACUAGCGAGGUUAAGCAUUUAAGAUGCGUAGCCGAAGCGAAAGCGAGUCUGAAUAGGGCGAACUAGUUAGUGGGGGUAGACGCGAAACUUGGUGAUCUACCCAUGAGCAGGUUGAAGUUGCAGUAACAUGUAAUGGAGGACCGAACCAGUAAACGUUGAAAAGUUUUUGGAUGACUUGUGGGUAGGGGUGAAAGGCCAAUCAAACUGAGAGAUAGCUCGUACUCCCCGAAAUGCAUUUAGGUGCAGCGUUGAGGAUUAUAGUUAUAGAGGUAGAGCUACUGAUUGGAUGCGGGGGCUUCACCGCCUACCAAUUCCUGACAAACUCCGAAUGCUAUAUAAUGUUUCAGGGCAGUGAGGGCAUGGGUGCUAAGGUCCAUGUCCGAGAGGGAAAGAACCCGGACCAUCAGCUAAGGUCCCCAAAUAUGUGCUAAGUUGACAAAACGCGGUGGGACUGCACAGACAGCCAGGAUGUUGGCUUGGAAGCAGCCAUU